UGUCCAGUAGCACCUUAGAGAACAACUACGUUUGUUCUGGGUAUAAGCUUUCAUGUGCAUGCAGACUUCUUCAGAUAGGGUAUCUGCAUAUGGAAUGCAUGCACACGAAAGCUUGCUUCCAGAACAAACUUAGUUGGUCUCUAAGGUGCUACUGGACA
Non-coding RNA from Podarcis lilfordi (Lilford's wall lizard), 158 nucleotides. The record is from the annotation of a GenBank genome assembly. Lineage: Eukaryota; Metazoa; Chordata; Lepidosauria; Squamata; Lacertidae.